RNAcentral lists this ribosomal RNA (473 nucleotides) under uncultured bacterium. Its description in RNAcentral is "bacterial SSU rRNA". It matches the Rfam family "Bacterial small subunit ribosomal RNA", at positions 28 to 507 of the family's 1533-position model. The record is from RNAcentral.
GGCUAACGCUGGCGGCGUGUCUUAGCCAUGCAAGUCGAGCGGACUUAUGGGGUAACUUAUAAGUCAGCGGCGGACGGCGGAGUAACACGUAGCUAACCUACCCUCUGGACGGGGAUAACCUACCGAAAGGUGGGCUAAUACCCGAUGUAGUCAUCCUGUAUAGGGGUGAUGAAAGGUGGGCUUCUGUUUACAAGCUCAUGCUGGAGGAGGGGGCUGCGGCCUAUCAGGUAGUUGGUAGGGUAAUAGCCUACCAAGCCGAUGACGGGUAGCCGGUCUGAGAGGAUGGCCGGCCACAAGGGCACUGAGAGACGGGCCCUACUCCUACGGGAGGCAGCAGUGGGGGAUUUUGGACAAUGGGCGAAAGCCUGAUCCAGCGACGCCGCGUGGAGGACGAAGCCCUUCGGGGUGUAAACGUCCUUUUCUCAGGGAAAAGGAUGAUGGUACCUGAGGAAUAAGCCCCGGCUAACUACGUG